GACGAACGCUGGCGGCGUGCUUAACACAUGCAAGUCGAACGGAAAGGCCUGCUUUCCCUUGUGGAUUGCGGGUACUCGAGUGGCGAACGGGUGAGUAACACGUGAGUGAUCUGCCCCCAACUUGGGUAUAAGCCUGGGAAACUGGGUCUAAUUCCCGAUAGGACUGCAGGGUGGUGCCUGUGGUGGAAAACGAUUUUCUAGUGGUUGGGGAUGAGCUCGCGGCCUAUCAGCUUGUUGGUGGGGUAAUGGCCUACCAAGGCGGCGACGGGUAGCCGGCCUGAGAGGGUGGACGGCCACAUUGGGACUGAGAUACGGCCCAGAGUCCUACGGGAGGCAGCAGUGGGGAAUAUUGCACAAUGGGCGGAAGCCUGAUGCAGCGACGCCGCGUGGGGGAUGACGGCCUUCGGGUUGUAAACUCCUUUCGACCGCGAGGAAGCCACCUGGUUGGAAGGGUGGUGACGGUAGUGGUAGAAGAAGCACCGGCUAACUACGUG
This 494-nucleotide ribosomal RNA is filed under the name uncultured bacterium. RNAcentral describes it as "partial 16S ribosomal RNA". It matches the Rfam family "Bacterial small subunit ribosomal RNA", at positions 28 to 507 of the family's 1533-position model. The record is from RNAcentral.